This 244-nucleotide unclassified non-coding RNA is filed under the name Glomeraceae sp. RNAcentral describes it as "partial internal transcribed spacer 2". Lineage: Eukaryota; Fungi; Glomeromycota; Glomeromycetes; Glomerales; Glomeraceae. The record is from RNAcentral.
GUGAAUCAUCAAAUUUUUGAACGCAAAUUGCGCUUCCUGGCAUCCCGGAAAUAAGGCUUUUUUGGGGGUCGUUAUUAUUAAAAAUCGGUUUUGUUACAAAUUGUGACGUUUCCGGGGUUUGGGCUAUCUUUACAUUUUUGGUUAAGAGGCUUAAAAUUGACCUUUUUUGCGCAUUUUUAAACGUUAAUAAAUUUUUUUUAUUCCUCUAUUCUUAAUUCCAAAAUCUUAUUAGAUUCGAUUACAU